GCCCGAUUAGCUCAGUGGUAGAGCAACCGCCUUGUAAGCGGUAGGUCAUCAGUUCGACUCUGUUAUCGGGCUCCA
This 75-nucleotide transfer RNA is filed under the name bacterium. RNAcentral's name for it is "tRNA-Thr". It matches the Rfam family "tRNA". From Rfam's summary of the family: Transfer RNA (tRNA) molecules are approximately 80 nucleotides in length. Their secondary structure includes four short double-helical elements and three loops (D, anti-codon, and T loops). Further hydrogen bonds mediate the characteristic L-shaped molecular structure. tRNAs have two regions of fundamental functional importance: the anti-codon, which is responsible for specific mRNA codon recognition, and the 3' end, to which the tRNAs corresponding amino acid is attached (by aminoacyl-tRNA synthetases). tRNAs cope with the degeneracy of the genetic code in two manners: having more than one tRNA (with a specific anti-codon) for a particular amino acid; and 'wobble' base-pairing, i.e. permitting non-standard base-pairing at the 3rd anti-codon position. RNAcentral also lists the same sequence under 1 other name. The record is from RNAcentral.